RNAcentral lists this microRNA precursor (64 nucleotides) under Daphnia pulex (common water flea). RNAcentral's name for it is "Dpu-Mir-7-P9_pre stem-loop". Lineage: Eukaryota; Metazoa; Arthropoda; Branchiopoda; Diplostraca; Daphniidae. RNAcentral also lists the same sequence under 1 other name. The record is from RNAcentral.
UGGAAGACUAGUGAUUUUGUUGUUCGGCAUAAAGACCGGUAACAAAAAAUCUCUAGUUCACCUA